Molecule: ribosomal RNA, 2101 nt
Filed under: Triticum aestivum (bread wheat)
Lineage: Eukaryota; Viridiplantae; Streptophyta; Magnoliopsida; Poales; Poaceae
Description: partial small subunit ribosomal RNA
Source: RNAcentral
CCCUCGCCCCCGCCAUCUCAUCGACGGCUCGAAGCCGAACCCUCGGCAAGUAAAAGAUACCUAACCCUAGCUCGUCCGCCAUGGCCAGGGAGGCGUCGUCGUCCUCCGCGCCGGGGCCCUCGGAGUUGCCGCCGGCCGCUCGUGGCAGCGGCAGCGGAAGCGGAAGCGGCGGGGACACGCCGCGAGUGCCGCGGCGGCGCGCCCGCGGCGACCCGCUCCUCAUCGUGUGCGGCUGCUUCAGCGUCGUCACGGCCGCCACCGCCUUGCUCUGCGUCGCCGUCAACGUCCUAUCCGCUGUCCAGUCCUUCCGCCGCAACGGUGGCUACAUAUUCGGGGGCAUAUUCCGGUGCUAUGCGGUGGUGAUCUCGCUAUUCGUGGCCGUCCUCGAGACUGAGUGGGGAUUCAUCAUCAAAUUCUGCAAGAUAUUGGAAUACUGGCCUGCAAGGGGGAUGCUACAGAUAUUUGUUGCUGUCAUGACAAAGGCAUACCCAAACGUUGAAAGGAGCGAUCUGAUUUUGCUUCAGGACAUUGCCAGCUAUCUGCUCCUUGCAUGUGGACUAAUCUAUGUAAUCUCGGGGGUAUUAUGUCUUGGUGUACUAAAGCGCUCUAGGCAGCAGAAAGCAACAUCACGAGAGCAAGCAGCCAAAGAUCUGCAGGAGCUGGAGAAGCGGAGAGAGGAACUCGAGGCACUGUUAAUUGCUGAGAGGUCCGAAUUGGUCUGAUGAAUCUGAGCACGACGAUUUAACAUUUCUCACAUGGUGUAGAUAGAUUGUUGCUCCUGCUAAUUGCAUGCCGCUUUUUCAUGGUCAUCGAUUUGUCACCCGAGACAUUUUCGUUGGGAGUGCCCCCUUUUCCUGUGUUCCAGUUUUCGUCUAGAUUUCUGCUGAAUUUGGUUUCUGGUGUGAGCAUUUUCGUGGAUGCAUGGAUCAAGCAAUGUAUGGAUUGUGUGAGCAUUUUCGUGGAUGCAUGGAUGCAUGGUGUGAGCAUUUUCGUAAAUGGAUGGAUUGAGCAUUUUCGUAAAUGGAUGGAUCUUACAGUAUCUGAAUUUGGUAAAUGGAUGCAGGUGUGAGCAUUUUCGUGGAUGCAUGGAUUGUGUUGUCUCAGUUGUGUUGGAUUUAUGUUAAUGCCGUAGGCCUCAAAAUGUACCAUGCUGACAUGGUGUGUGUUUGUUGUCUCUGUAGUCUUUGUCUGAACCAUGGAUGCUAAAUAAUUUUUUGUAUUUUGUGUAAUAGAGGGUCCAUGCUUGGUUAACUUCUGAGAUUUGAAUUCAAGUAGGUUGUUUUCAAGCAAUUUAGAGUUGGGAUUCUUGAUGUGGAUAAUGCGUGAUAAUGCGUAAGUGCCGUUGCAAACUUUAUAACAAGUGUUGAGAAAACCAGUCAUAUACAUUAUGCAAAUAUGUAUAUGCGGUCAUGGCAGAUGUGUCGUUGAUUCCUGGGCAUCCAUUGUUUCUGCUCCUGUGGCCAUGGCAGAUGUGUCAUUGCGGUCUGCCAUGAAGGGACAAGCGGAGUUGCUGCGCUCUGAGCUCCUCAACAUGGCUUCCUUUCGACUCGAGAAAACGGUUCAACCUCUGCGCGAUGUCGUUGAUUCCAUGCAAGGUUGGAUGCUUCGGAUGGGGAACUUUCUAGAGCGAGCUGAGGCUGUUCUGAGUGGGCUCUCGCAGGUGUCACCUAUGUUGCAAACUGCUCCUAUGCAGCGCCCCCUGGUUGUGCCUGAUGUCAACCUUGAGGACGAGAAUGGAGAUGGGCUUCAUGGACGUUUCUCUCCUCGUGCCGGGGUCAGAUCGCCGUUAUCUGCCUCUGAGGGUUCGUGCAUUGAUGUGGUUGUGUCUUCGGUGCUACAGAUCAUGCCUGAGUUUAUGGAGCUGUGUGGGGAAUCGACUCCGCCUCUAUCCGUUGAGCAAUUGAAGGUGGACCCCCUCGAGAUCUUGGUUGUGGCAUUACCUCCAUUACCACCCCUCGAGCCCAACCAGAUGCUUGACUUCGAGGAGAAGGGGCAUUCAGACGUUGCAAUGUCUUGCUCGUCCGAGUUCAUUGGGCACGUGGUUUCUGUAGAUGAUGUGGUUGUCGCACCCAGAGCAAUGCUCGUGUGCCUGGGGCUCUAA